RNAcentral lists this unclassified non-coding RNA (1436 nucleotides) under Hevea brasiliensis (rubber tree). Lineage: Eukaryota; Viridiplantae; Streptophyta; Magnoliopsida; Malpighiales; Euphorbiaceae. The record is from RNAcentral.
AAAUAAAGAACACCUCUUAUUGUAAAACAUACACUACUGUGACAUUAGUUGGUAGUAUAGACAUAUAACCCUUCCCUGCAACCAGCAUGAUAUGCCUGCGGAAGCUAAAACUACAGUAUAUCCUCUCCUACUACAGAAAGCUUACAAGCCUCUCUCUUACUUAUAUACUACAUACCAUAAUUUAUGAUAGAACUUUGCAGCUUUUCUCAGCUUCAGUCUGGAAGUGCUCUCUUUAACGUUUCUGUUAUCUAAUAUGUUAAAACUACAAACUAUAUACGGUCCCAAAUUCCUUUCGGUAACCACAACAACCUCUUCCUUCUCUUAGUUCUCAGCAGCUCCAACAGAAGCACCACGGCUAAGGAGAUGUGAAGACAACCUACCAGCUCAUAGAUCGAACUCUUCGCAGAACUCUUGGUGGUCUUCGCUUCUCUACAACUGGUAUCAGGUUCUCCAUGAUCUGCUUAAGUCUCUCCUUAUUCUUUUCCUCCUCUUCUCUCAACAACCUUGCAUUUUCCUCCUCCAAUUGUGUAACCAAAGACUCCAAUUCCACAGUAUAAGCCUGUUUUCGCUCUCUAGACCUGGCAGCAGACUCUCUGUUCUUGAUCAUCCGUCGCUGUUUCUGCUGUGUAGCCCUAUCAGCCGGCAACUCCUCCACAGUUGACCUUCUCUUCCCUCUUCCACUCCCACUUCCACUCCCUGUAAUAGCCACCACCCCAUUUCCAAAUCCCAUGUGGGGUUGGGGUUCCAUACCAUACCCUCCUGGUCCAUUCUGCAUGGCCACCGGAAACUGACAAUUCCCAGUACCCAUCAUGUUAUCCACCACAAACCCUCUGGCAGACGGAGCCCCCGUGGCUGGAGGCGGUGGCGGAGGUGGUGGAGGAGCGAUCACCGGAACUCUAACAUCCUCCUCAGUAACCGCCCCAGCUUUGGUCAAAAAAUCCUCCAGAGUCAUCUCCGGCUCCCUACUCCCUCCCCCUCCCCCUCCUCCUGCUACAAUUUCCCUCCACACCUCAUCCACAGUCUUAGUAGGCCCCACAUCCCCAACACCGGCUGCGGUAGCAGAAGGUGUAUGGACUGCGGCGGUUGCAGAUACAGAACAAGCAAAAGGGUCGGAAUCAGAGUAAAUGUUCUUCAGAAUUUCAUCCAUGUUCAUAGAAUCGAAGUUUCUAGAAGGAUGAGAGUGAUUUAGAGAAGAAGAUGGGUUUUGGGGAUGUAAUGAACGAUCCGAAUUAGGCGUUGUUGAUGCUGACGGCAUCACCUUUGACGCCAUAGUUGCCGACUUCGUAGGGAUCUCGUUUCUCCCUUUCCUUUUCUUACUCUAAAAAUACACAAAUUGCUCCUUAUAAUUUCACAAACUUUGGAUCUUUUCCAUUUUUCUCUAUUCUUUCUUCUUCUUCUUCUCCAGAGGCCACAAACUCCAAACUAUUUUGUCAAAU